AGAGUUUGAUCAUGGCUCAGGACGAACGCUGGCGGCGUGCCUAAUACAUGCAAGUCGAGCGGACCGACGGGAGCUUGCUCCCUUAGGUCAGCGGCGGACGGGUGAGUAACACGUGGGUAACCUGCCUGUAAGACUGGGAUAACUCCGGGAAACCGGGGCUAAUACCGGAUGCUUGAUUGAACCGCAUGGUUCAAUCAUAAAAGGUGGCUUUUAGCUACCACUUGCAGAUGGACCCGCGGCGCAUUAGCUAGUUGGUGAGGUAACGGCUCACCAAGGCGACGAUGCGUAGCCGACCUGAGAGGGUGAUCGGCCACACUGGGACUGAGACACGGCCCAGACUCCUACGGGAGGCAGCAGUAGGGAAUCUUCCGCAAUGGACGAAAGUCUGACGGAGCAACGCCGCGUGAGUGAUGAAGGUUUUCGGAUCGUAAAACUCUGUUGUUAGGGAAGAACAAGUACCGUUCGAAUAGGGCGGCACCUUGACGGUACCUAACCAGAAAGCCACGGCUAACUACGUGCCAGCAGCCGCGGUAAUACGUAGGUGGCAAGCGUUGUCCGGAAUUAUUGGGCGUAAAGCGCGCGCAGGCGGUUUCUUAAGUCUGAUGUGAAAGCCCCCGGCUCAACCGGGGAGGGUCAUUGGAAACUGGGGAACUUGAGUGCAGAAGAGGAGAGUGGAAUUCCACGUGUAGCGGUGAAAUGCGUAGAGAUGUGGAGGAACACCAGUGGCGAAGGCGACUCUCUGGUCUGUAACUGACGCUGAGGCGCGAAAGCGUGGGGAGCGAACAGGAUUAGAUACCCUGGUAGUCCACGCCGUAAACGAUGAGUGCUAAGUGUUAGAGGGUUUCCGCCCUUUAGUGCUGCAGCAAACGCAUUAAGCACUCCGCCUGGGGAGUACGGUCGCAAGACUGAAACUCAAAGGAAUUGACGGGGGCCCGCACAAGCGGUGGAGCAUGUGGUUUAAUUCGAAGCAACGCGAAGAACCUUACCAGGUCUUGACAUCCUCUGACAACCCUAGAGAUAGGGCUUCCCCUUCGGGGGCAGA
This 1042-nucleotide ribosomal RNA is filed under the name Bacillus sp. (in: firmicutes). RNAcentral describes it as "bacterial SSU rRNA". It matches the Rfam family "Bacterial small subunit ribosomal RNA", at positions 8 to 1030 of the family's 1533-position model. Lineage: Bacteria; Bacillati; Bacillota; Bacilli; Caryophanales; Bacillaceae. The record is from RNAcentral.